Molecule: long non-coding RNA, 1191 nt
Organism: Gallus gallus (chicken)
Lineage: Eukaryota; Metazoa; Chordata; Aves; Galliformes; Phasianidae
Source: Ensembl
AGUAGCGGGUGAAUCCUUGCCGGCAUGAACAGGGGCCAAGGGGAAGGCAUUUAAUGGAUGAUUAGAGAAUUUAGGAGCACUUCUCAGCCUGAAAUCAGGGCUUCACACCUCCCAGACAUGGGUGCAGCGCAGAGCAGGACUGACAAGUGUUUUUGACAGGCAAUCUGUCUGUUAAAAAGCUGUAGGACUGAGGAAGACCAUACAGAGCAUCCUAGCAUCUCAGCUCAGGAGAGCAAGAGGACAAAAUCAGAGGAAGAAAGAUACUGAGGAAGAUGGAGAACUCUGAACUUACCCAGCAAACCUAUAUGCAGAUGCUGCUGAGAUGUCUAAGAGUGCUGUGUGAUUAUUUGAAGUAAAGAAACCACGGGAAAGGAACAUGGAAGAGUUACGGGAUAUUUGGGAAUACUGAAAAAAAAGUGGAUUGAAGACACGAGAAUGGAUAGCCCCUGCGUGAGUCAUGGUGAAAACGAGUCUAUAAUACUCUAAGUCUUUCUGAAGCUCGCUUCUAAGUUGUUGCUUUCAGAAUUCUUGGUAGUGCUGAGCUGUAUGGUAAUAUGCAAUGACCCUUUUCCUUGCUAAUCACAGCUGGAUUCCUCUCGGCCAGGCAGAGCCUCUCUUGAUCUAUCUCCAUUGCUUUUGUAUCCAUCUGAAGUUUCGUAAGCUGUAUUUUACAUGGCUAUACUAAGUGAUGCCCAGUUGGGUAUGUUACCACUCACAUAAAAAAAAUAACAAUACUGUUUGAAAAAGAAAGAGAAGAGCCUGGAGGAUUUUCAAGGUUGAGGUGCACUUAGUGUAGCUAUAAGCAGACUAAAACCAUCAUCGUAUCUGCUUUUCUUCUCUAACAGUCCCAAAGAUCACAGGCUCUGAGUGUCACACUCAGCAAGGACAGGAGAAUACAGAAGAAAGAAAAGAAUACUGCUUGCAGUGGAGAAAAUGCAUGUUUAAAAUUUAUUUCUGUCUCACAGGCCCUAAACCAUGACUACUUUGUGCAGGUGGUGAGUUCAGCCGUGAAAGCUCUUGGGGUCACCUUGCUACAAAUAUAACUCAUUGCUAUUUUCUCUCCGUGUCUCACAAAGUAUGGCAUGGGUGGUUUCAGUUCCACUUUGUUCUCCCGGCUCUUUCCCAUGCUGCGACAUCCCUUUCCUAAAAUAUUUUCUCUAUUCCUAUUUGUAAAUUAAAAAUCUUUCCAGU